GGAUCGCUGAACUGACUUGUUCUUUUGCAAAUGCCGGGUUGCUGCGUGCCGCAGUGUUCGAAUCACUCGAAGAAUGGGUGGAAGGUGUACGGCGUCCCAACAAACGCCAAACGGAGGCUUCUGGCGCUCGUACAGAUAAAGCGCGACGACUGGGAGCCGAGCCGUUUGUCGUCUGCGUGCGGCAUUAAGGCUUCUUCGACUUGGUGCUGCAAUGAAGCGCCGCAAAUAACUUCCGCUGGUCAUGGUCGAGGAGCGGCAU
Molecule: long non-coding RNA, 259 nt
Organism: Ixodes scapularis (black-legged tick)
Lineage: Eukaryota; Metazoa; Arthropoda; Arachnida; Ixodida; Ixodidae
Exons: 2
Source: RefSeq, a predicted model, not a curated record